CCAAGCCCUGUGUGACAUUCCAAUUCUGGCUGCCUGCCCAGGAAGUGAGUUACUUUCACUUUCAUUCCUCAGCAGGCAGGCAGCCUCCCCUCCCCCCACCUACCCCCAGCACCUCACCCAACCCAGCCCUGACGGAGGGGAGGGAGGAGAGAGAGAGGGGUGCUCCUGGGGAGGAGGGAGAAAGGAGGGGGUGCUCCGUGGGGCAGGGGGGAGAAGAAUGGAUGUUAUGGGAGACAACAAAGGAUACUGGUUCCAGAGCCACAGCCUCACCUGACCUCAGCCGGGGGGAAAGAGUCACACUCACAGAGCAUGGAUGGUUCUGAGGCCUGCAGUCAACAGUCCAGAAAGUGUGCCUGAUAGAUUUAACUGACAGUUUCCUCUGACUAGUGUGUGGCUAUGGGGCCAACUGGAUGAGCAGUUCAGCAUCAGAAGCUUUGAAAUGAAAAACAAACAGUGACUUACAUUCCUGCGUUAUCUUUCAUUUGAAAGGAUCCCAGAGUGCUUUACAAGCUGCACAGAAUGAUCACUCACCCGUCACUGAAUUGCAGCUUCCUUUGGGUUAGCACACAGCUGCCAUUCUGGAAUGUGAUUGCUUGGAAUUAACAAUGGAUUGUUCAUUCUGCAAUGUCAGAGCGAAAAGUCACCGAGUGGAACAAGAACCUUUAUUGAUAAGAUUGCAAUAUCGCUGCUACCUGUAACAAAGAUGUCAAUCUUCAUUUGCUCCCUGCACAGGUCAUGCAGGUGAAUGAACUUCUUGUGUGUUCACAAAUUCUGAACGGAGGUUGUAGUACUUUGUUAAUUCUAUUCCAGGCAAUGUGGCUCCUACAGACUGAGAAUUUAUCACUUAGGAAGAUGACACAUGGAGUGGGGCAAAAACAUGUUGGAAACUUGUUUAAAAAAACAAAUAAAAGAUCACCCACAACCCACACACUAGUGGAAAAAAGGCAGAUUU
Long non-coding RNA from Gopherus flavomarginatus (Mexican gopher tortoise), 952 nucleotides. RefSeq lists it as uncharacterized. NCBI's taxonomy places the organism in Eukaryota, Metazoa, Chordata, Testudines, Testudinidae. The record is from RefSeq and is a predicted model, not a curated record. The transcript is spliced from 3 exons.